This 1487-nucleotide unclassified non-coding RNA is filed under the name Hevea brasiliensis (rubber tree). The record is from RNAcentral. Lineage: Eukaryota; Viridiplantae; Streptophyta; Magnoliopsida; Malpighiales; Euphorbiaceae.
ACUUAACAAAACUAAAAAGAACAUUUGAGAAGUCCUUAUUAUUAAUGGACCAUACAUCCUCAUUAUUUACGGUCAACAUACACCUAUCAACAUGUACCAAACCCGAGCCCCCUACUUCAUACCCUUGCCAGCUACUAUCCAACGUUUAACGUAGCGACAAAAGCGCUACCAAAGCCACCAAAACAUCCUCGACCACCAGUCGCCGAGCCCCAGUACGCCAACUCGGCAGCCUAUGCUCUUCGAAAUAUAAAAUUUAUACUAUCUCACAUGAUUGAGCACCAACUUGCGUUCUCAUCACUGUAGUAGUAAUUCCCAAUCGGCUCCCCAGGCGGCGGUGGCGGCGCCGGGGCAACCCGCAUGUACCCCAUCUGCGGGUACCCGCCGUACUCACCGUUCAUCAUCGCCCUCUGCUGCAUCAUCGCCGCCAUAUACUGCUGCUGCUGGUAGGCAUUGGCCGCCGCCGCAGGCGGCAACAUCCCUGUCGGUGCUUCCGCCGGCAGCCCCUGCAUGACACCCAUGCCGGGUUGCCCCGUCACCUUGUUAGGGUUGCCAUUGUUGCCGCCCUUGUCGCCGCCUUUGUUGCUUUUCCCACCAUUCUUGGCAUCUUUGUCCCCGCCGCCGCCGCCCUUGUCACCCUUUUUACCGCCGCCUGUGAACUGUACUGGAAUUUCUACCCCUCCUCCACCGACACCCUUCUUACCGCCGCCGCCAGCGGCGGCACUGCCUCCCUUUAAAAGAAAGUCGAAAUCAUGUUGUUUAGUUUGUUUUGGGUCAGCAUCAAGGUCAUCUUCAAAUCCAUCAAUAUCAUCGAAGCCCUCGUCAUCUUCAUCGUCGUAGUCACCGUCGAGCUCAUCAUCAAAGUCGCUACCAUCCUCAAGUGGAAGGGCAAACUUGACAUUUUUCUGGUCCUUCAGCGGAGGCAGCUUCAGAUCCUUGAACCCUUUAAGCUGCUGCAGCAGCUCCAGCUGCUGCUGCUGCAGUUGACCCUUCGGGUCCUUGGCGGCGGGACCACCGACACCGACGCCCUUCUGUGGUUUCCCGUUCUCCUUCUGCUGAGGCUUGGAGUUAUUGACGGAAUUGCCGCCUUUGGGAAGAAGCAGCUCGGCAUGCUUGCCGGCCUUGGCGAGCUUUUUGAUGAGGAUGGCAGCAUCGACAGUUCCCGACACUGUCACCUUGCCUUGCUCUGCAUCUAUGCUUGUUGUGUACACCCCAUCAAUCUUCCGCAACAGCUUCUUGACCUUUUUAUUGCAUCCGUCACAGUGUAUGUGCACUUUCAGAACAUAGGUCUGAAUCUUGGGGAGCUUGGUAUCUUCUUUCUUGCUCAUCCCUGCAAGCUAAAGUGAGUGAUGGGUUGGGAUCAAGCAAAGAAAACCUAGAAAGGAGGCACCAUUUGGUAUUUGGUUGAUGGAUUGUAGGAGAGAAAUGGGAGACUUAAGUUUGUGGCCUGAGUUCAACUUCUAAGCUCCAUUAUAGAGGCCUGCAACUUG